RNAcentral lists this ribosomal RNA (253 nucleotides) under uncultured bacterium. RNAcentral describes it as "partial 16S ribosomal RNA". It matches the Rfam family "Bacterial small subunit ribosomal RNA", at positions 524 to 776 of the family's 1533-position model. The record is from RNAcentral.
UACGAAGGGGGCUAGCGUUGUUCGGAAUUACUGGGCGUAAAGCGUGCGCAGGCGGCUUCUCAAGUCAGGGGUGAAAGCCCAGAGCUCAACUCUGGAAUUGCCUUUGAGACUGAGUGGCUUGAGUACGAGAGAGGUGAGUGGAAUUCCCAGUGUAGAGGUGAAAUUCGUAGAUAUUGGGAAGAACACCGGUGGCGAAGGCGGCUCACUGGCUCGUAACUGACGGUCAUGCACGACAGCGUGGGGAUCAAACAGG